Molecule: ribosomal RNA, 368 nt
Filed under: uncultured Lactobacillus sp.
Lineage: Bacteria; Bacillati; Bacillota; Bacilli; Lactobacillales; Lactobacillaceae
Description: bacterial SSU rRNA
Rfam family: Bacterial small subunit ribosomal RNA
Source: RNAcentral
GUGCCAGCCGCUGCGGUAAUACGUAGGUGGCAAGCGUUGUCCGGAUUUAUUGGGCGUAAAGCGAGCGCAGGCGGUUUUAGGUCUGAUGUGAAAGCCUUCGGCUUAACCGGAGAAGUGCAUCGGAAACCGGGAGACUUGAGUGCAGAAGAGGACAGUGGAACUCCAUGUGUAGCGGUGAAAUGCGUAGAUAUAUGGAAGAACACCAGUGGCGAAGGCGGCUGUCUGGUCUGCAACUGACGCUGAGCUCGAAAGCAUGGGUAGCGAACAGGAUUAGAUACCCUGGUAGUCCAUGCCGUAAACGAUGAGUGCUAAGUGUUGGAGGUUUCCGCCUUCAGUGCUGCAGCUAACGCAUUAGCACUCGCCUGGGA